This 177-nucleotide small RNA is filed under the name Gopherus agassizii (Agassiz's desert tortoise). Its description in RNAcentral is "TUC338 (ENSGAGG00000019212.1)". The record is from RNAcentral. Lineage: Eukaryota; Metazoa; Chordata; Testudines; Testudinidae.
UUGACAGCUUUGGUGACUGAAAUUCUCUGUUUAUUAACAGCAUAAGUAUGCCAAGGACAAUAGCAAUUCAACUUUCCCCACUCUGCCCUGGAAAUUAGUCUCAGAUCUGAUCUGGAGGAGCCAUCUCUUGGUGUCAGGGAAAAUUCAGUUUCCACAUCCAUUUAAUCCUAUUCCUCU